RNAcentral lists this ribosomal RNA (758 nucleotides) under Triticum aestivum (bread wheat). RNAcentral describes it as "partial small subunit ribosomal RNA". The record is from RNAcentral. Lineage: Eukaryota; Viridiplantae; Streptophyta; Magnoliopsida; Poales; Poaceae.
CCAGGUACAGGUAGAGCGGCCGGUUCUUCUUGGACGUGGGUUUUGACUGGCGCUACUUGUGUGCCCUCGACUAGAGGCCUUCAGAACUGUCGCAGUUCGUUGUCCGCUUCCGGUACCGUAGGUGGCAGAGCAGUCGAUCCGGCCGCCUGGAGGCGGCUUUCGACCGCCUCUACUUGUGCCGGCUGGAGCGGCGCCCGGAGCCGGUGAAGUUCUUGGUCCGCCGCCGUCGCCAAAGGUGCGCGCUUCCGCGGCACUUUCGGCGCCGCUACCAGGAGCCCCCGCGGCACUCGUAGAUGAAGGAGACCGGGCGCCGGCGGCGGGGGCGGUGGUGGCCGCGGUACUACUUGCGCGGCCCGCGGCGGCCGAAGCAGUAUAGGGCGCACCGCAAGGACCGGUUCUCCGUCGAGAUGAAGGUGCAGGACGCGUGACGGCCGGGACAGCGGCGUCAGCGCCAAGAGCACAUCCCUACCUUCACUGCGUGCCUCCGUACCUGCGCUCGAUCGAUGCCACACAAAAGAAGUUCACACACGCGCUACAUGACAGAUCACCAUGAUCGUAAAGCCGCACGCCUGUACGUACCUCCUAAACAGUCGAUAGGUUACGUUGCACAUGUUAUUCGAGACGCGGAGACGGAUCGAUCACGAGCAUAAACGGGAACAAGAGGUCACAUAACAAGAUGUACUUCGUUGACAAACAGAUGCAUGAUGAAAACGGCCUUUUUAUAUGAUGAGGUAGGCAAGGAUUUAUAAACAGUAAGC